UCUAACGUAGAAACGUGCGCAGAAAUCGAUUUACGACAGGGUUUACGUGUGAUUCAUCAAACAUUCGUAUGCCGCCAAUCUCAUCAUACGAAUGAUCGUACCUACAAAUGUGGAGGCUGAAAUCGGUCGUAAUUUACAUAUAACGCCCCUAUAAAUUCAGGGUGUAGACGCCUCGCCCCUAGAUUUUGCGACACGGAGAAACGUAAUCCGGCCAAAAUUAGGAUUUUUUUUCUGAUUUAGGAAUUAAAAUUUAACCUUGGAAAGCGGAAUCAAAGGAAGUAAAAAAAAAAAUUUUUUGAAAGAGAUCGUUGCGGUCAACAGCGUUGGUGUAGUGAACCGAUCUCCAGCUGAGGUGAAGAAAAAAUGGUCUGUUACGGAGGAGACAGAUGCAUGUUUCUAAAGCAGGAUAAAGGUCUGUCAGAGGCAGGACCAGCGGUCUUCAGGCCCCACUGGAACCUGCCACACAAAGCAAGGCAACCUGUGACCCAGUGCGCAUCUUCCAUCACAUCGAACAUAGCAUAGUCACAAUAAUGUGAAUAAG
This is a long non-coding RNA of Triplophysa rosa, 541 nucleotides long. RefSeq lists it as uncharacterized. The transcript is spliced from 3 exons. The record is from RefSeq and is a predicted model, not a curated record. NCBI's taxonomy places the organism in Eukaryota, Metazoa, Chordata, Actinopteri, Cypriniformes, Nemacheilidae.